Molecule: ribosomal RNA, 495 nt
Filed under: uncultured bacterium
Lineage: Bacteria
Description: bacterial SSU rRNA
Rfam family: Bacterial small subunit ribosomal RNA
Source: RNAcentral
GAUUAACGCUGGCGGCAUGCCUAAUACAUGCAAGUCGAACGGAAGCAGCAAUGCUUUAGUGGCGAACGGGUGAGUAACACGUAGGGAACCUACCUAUACGACGAGGAUAACUACUGGAAACGGUAGCUAAAACUGGAUAGGAUCAAUUGAGGCAUCUUGAUUGAUUUAAAGAUCCUUCGGGAUUACGUAGAGAUGGCCCUGCGGCGCAUUAGCUAGUUGGUGAGGUAACGGCCCACCAAGGCGACGAUGCGUAGCUGAGCUGAGAGGCUAAACAGCCACACUGGGACUGAGACACGGCCCAGACUCCUACGGGAGGCAGCAGUAGGGAAUUUUCGGCAAUGGGGGAAACCCUGACCGAGCAAUGCCGCGUGAACGAUGAAGGUCUUCGGAUUGUAAAGUUCUGUGAUUGGGGAAGAAUGGUAUCUUAGGGAAUGAGGAGUACAUGACGGUACCCGAUUAGAAAGCCCCGGCUAACUAUGUGCCAGCAGCCGCGGU